GGUUGGAAAAAAGGGAAGGUCGGUUGGUUUGCCAUCACGAUAGAUAUGGAGAAGGCGUAUGGUCGUCUCAAUUGGGAUUUUAUUGAGGACACAUUCAUAGAUUUGGAAAUCCCAGGGUCGAGACACCAACUUAUCAUGCAUCAUAUAUGUUCCUCUUAUUUGUAGGUUUUAUAGAAUGACACCAUGACAAAUUCUUUUA
Molecule: long non-coding RNA, 199 nt
Filed under: Gossypium barbadense (sea-island cotton)
Lineage: Eukaryota; Viridiplantae; Streptophyta; Magnoliopsida; Malvales; Malvaceae
Description: long non-coding RNA (GBAR_LNC013234)
Source: RNAcentral